RNAcentral lists this ribosomal RNA (460 nucleotides) under uncultured bacterium. RNAcentral describes it as "partial 16S ribosomal RNA". It matches the Rfam family "Bacterial small subunit ribosomal RNA", at positions 338 to 795 of the family's 1533-position model. The record is from RNAcentral.
CCUACGGGUGGCAGCAGUGAGGAAUAUUGGUCAAUGGACGAGAGUCUGAACCAGCCAAGUAGCGUGAAGGAUGACUGCCCUACGGGUUGUAAACUUCUUUUAUAUGGGAAUAAAAUGUUCCACGUGUGGGUUUUUGUAUGUACCUUCUGAAUAAGGAUCGGCUAACUCCGUGCCAGCAGCCGCGGUAAUACGGAGGAUCCGAGCGUUAUCCGGAUUUAUUGGGUUUAAAGGGAGCGUAGGUGGAUUGUUAAGUCAGUUGUGAAAGUUUGCGGCUCAACCGUAAAAUUGCAGUUGAAACUGGCAGUCUUGAGUACAGUAGAGGUGGGCGGAAUUCGUGGUGUAGCGGUGAAAUGCUUAGAUAUCACGAAGAACUCCGAUUGCGAAGGCAGCUCACUGGACUGCAACUGACACUGAGGCUCGAAAGUGUGGGUAUCAAACAGGAUUAGAUACCCCUGUAGUC